RNAcentral lists this transfer RNA (62 nucleotides) under Dendrobaena octaedra. RNAcentral's name for it is "tRNA-Ala". The record is from RNAcentral. Lineage: Eukaryota; Metazoa; Annelida; Clitellata; Crassiclitellata; Lumbricidae.
CUGCAACUUAGUUUACAUAGAACUAUCAACUUGCAUUUGAUAAGCGAGAAAUCCUCAGUAGC